RNAcentral lists this ribosomal RNA (301 nucleotides) under uncultured bacterium. RNAcentral describes it as "partial 16S ribosomal RNA". It matches the Rfam family "Bacterial small subunit ribosomal RNA", at positions 509 to 807 of the family's 1533-position model. The record is from RNAcentral.
CAGCAGCCGCGGGAACACGUAGGUGGCAAGCGUUGUCCGGAUUUACUGGGCGUAAAGCGAACGCAGGCGGACUGUUAAGUAGGAAGUGAAAGGUCGGAGCUCAACUCCAACAUUGCUUCCUAUACUGGCAGUCUUGAGUAGCGGAGAGGAAGGGGGAACGACACGUGUAGCGGUGAAAUGCGUUGAUAUGUGUCGGAACACCCAUGGCGAAAGCACCCUUCUGGACGCAAACUGACGCUCAGGUUCGAAAGCCAAGGUAGCGAACAGGAUUAGAUACCCCCGUAGUCCCUGUCUCUUAUAC